AAAGAUGGAACUUCAGAGAGCCAGACUGUGAAAGGUUGAUACAAAUACUUCCUUUUUGCAUUGACACGAGUUGUUUGCUUGCAUAUGGCUUCAACCUCUGCCCUGGUCAAGAAAAUAAUAAUUGAUAAUAGACUCUAUUGGAAACAGAGGGCUGAGAUCAUGAAAAUAGAAGGCUAUGGAGCAUAAAGUAGCCCAACAAUGAGUUUUAAGUAAGAUUAUGGUAUUUGUAUCGUAUCAGCAGUUGUCUUGCUCGAUAAUGGUGUCAGUUUGUGGCACCUUUAUUAACUUACCUACUGAUGUAUACAUGAUCUCUAAACUCUGAUUUGCACCAUCUUGGUUUUUACAGUAUUAUUUUUUUCUUCAUUUGUCUCUGUUGAAACUCUUGAAGCUGUAUUAGAUAACCUUGUAUAGAUAUAGAUGUAGAUACAUGUGUGUU
Molecule: unclassified non-coding RNA, 436 nt
Filed under: Hevea brasiliensis (rubber tree)
Lineage: Eukaryota; Viridiplantae; Streptophyta; Magnoliopsida; Malpighiales; Euphorbiaceae
Source: RNAcentral